ACGCCAUGAUCCGGCCUGAGGAGAAUAAUCGCACAUCCCCAGUAGACAGCAUGGACACCAAAAGGCACUCCGCUGAAAGGUGACCUCCAGAAACUUCACCUCCCUGAAACAUUUGGUGAGUUAAGAGAGUCAGAGAAUCCUUGUAUUCGCAAAUGACACCUCCCACCACCCCCGUCAACAUUUGGCAGGACAUGCAGCUCCAAGCCAUUUGCUAAUGUUCAUUUUAAAUGAAGUCCUCUGAAACAGAACUCAUUAUCUAAUGUCUUCAUGUCUUCUUCUUCUUCCCCACCCUGAAACACUCAUCCAUGCCUGACAACUGUCAUUUUGCCCUUUGGCCUAAGUGACAAUGUCCUUUCAAAUAAAAUCUUAAUUAAGUGUAUAUCUUUUUUAUUAAUGACCAACAUAUAUAAUGGUUUGUUUUAUCUGAAAUAGCCUUCAGUAGGAUCAACAAGCCUGUGCACAAAAUGCACCUGCGCCCACUGCUUCUGUUUUAUAUCAACUUAAAUUCAAUAAUUUAGGUGUUUUACACUGUUGUUUUGACAAAAGUAACAUGAAGAUGUCUAUGAUGUUCAGACACUGACACAAAUAUAAUAAAAGGGUAUCAGAGAAGUCAAAAAUAUCACUUUGCAUGUCUGUGUUUCAUAACGACACAUCUGAACUACAUAUUUGACCUCAUUCACAAAUAUUUUCUUUCUUAAAGAACAUGGCUGGUAAUGUUCUGAAGGUUUCAUCGUCAACAAAUUGCAUUAGAAAGACCAAAACUAUUUCUAAGUCAGUAAUCUCCCGAAUUAGCUGUGCAUUGUAGAUUGGAGUAAGCUUUAGCCAAACAAGAAUAAAUGAUAUGUUUGUGUAAGCUGCGGAUUAAACACACUGUUGACCUGGGAAUAUGUCACAAUGGUGUAGCUCAGGCAAUGCUUGGGAGCAAUGCAUUUUUGGUUUUGUGUUUUCAAGGGCUUUGCUGACAAGAAGAGACUAAUACUAACACACGGCUUCUUUUUCUUGAAAUUUAUUUGUCAAAUCUGAAAAAGAAAAUCAUAAAAACCCUGCGUCUCAUCCAUCAAACCACUGCAGACCACUAAAUUGUAAGUACCCAUCUGAAAAUGUUGGCCAAUCGUGUUUGAUUUUAAUUUGGAUGCACAUUCCAGGCAGUUUGUUAUUAGCAUGAGCGGAGGUCCAUAUAGGGCAGCAGUCCUCAGUGGUGGGUCCAAACCAUCUGUAAGUUAUUACCUGCGGAAACUAAAUAUCAGCACGCACAUGACCGAAAAAAAUAAAUAAACAUAAGAAUAAACAUGCAUUAUGAUAAUAUCAACCAUACCAAUACUACUACCUAUUACUACUAAUAAUAAAUACGAUGUGUAAUAAUGUGCAAUAUGAUUAGAGACUCAGAGAAAUUGUGGGAUAAUGUUUGCUGCGUGAACCAUAGAAAUAUCACUGAAGGCCAAAUAUUAACACCACAGGAAGCGGACAGGCAGCUUCUCAGCAACUGAAAUGGAUCUGUGGAUCAGAUCUAGAAUUAGAGAGGCUUGUAUCACCUGAGUUGCCACUUGUGGCAGCAGAUACACAGGCUUACAGGUAUUUCUGUGAUUCUCUCUCUAAUGGUAACCUUACGGCACAUGUGAAGGGCUCAUUUAAAUGAAAACGAGAUAUCAAAGUUACUGGAAUGUUUUAUAUUUUCACAGUGUAGGUUAUGUUUUAUUUAUUUAAGUCAUGGCCUAAAACUGUUGGUUUACAAGUGGCCUAUAUGAAACUAUAAUCUUGAUAAUGAGUAAUAAAAUCGAUUCCCUGUAACACACCUGAGGCUGAUUUUGUGUGAUAGUAUUAUCCAUAUGCUGGAAAGCUUGUUCUCUGAUAAAAUAUUACCCUCAACUACUAAAAAAAAAGUGUUGUGAAGUAGCCUUUGGUGAAAGUAACUCUUUAUGGAAAUCAGGUUUUGCGCUGAAGUGAUGAUUGAUAGCAGCGUAGUGAACCUCAGGCUAUAAUCAAUGCAAUCUCUGUAAGUGAAACUAACACAAAUAAACAUUAAAAUCAAGCAAACAUCAAAAAAAUCAUCAUUUUAAUUAACUGGCCAAAGGCAAGGCUCAUUUUUCAUGAGAGAAAUGGUGCAUACAUACUGUGUACAUGCUGUUUUACUGAGUUCAGUGGGUUUGCAGUUUGUCACCCAGUGUGUCUGCGAGUCUGAGUACAACCGCAGGAAUGGUUUAACGCACUCGAGCAUUGGAUGGAAUUCAGUCAGCAUGCAUUUCAUUUUGGGUUUGCAGUAACAGGAGGGACAGACGUGGUUAUACAAGAGAUGUGAAUGAGAACAUUUGGGCAUACGAGCGUAGGAAAGCACAGAUAAACCAUUUCUGUCACCUCAUUUCUGAGAAUAUGAUUACCUGUCUAAAGUAAUGUGUUCACCCUACGUCUCUUCCAUCGUAUCUGUUUCAGCUGUUGGUUCCAUUGUUAGAUUUUAUUGGGCAUUCACGACUUUUACUGGCAGACCGUUAUCACUGAUUGGUUUGAAAUGGUUUGAGGAAUUCUGUUUAUCCAAAACGCACAAUGGAAGAGUGAAAUCCUGUCGACACAGGACAACUGUUAUUCCACAAACUUUUGUACGUUUAUCAGCCCAAUUUGCGUUUCUAGUUAGAAAAUGACAUGAAUUCAAAAUCAUGCUGCACACCACAUCUGUACUAACUAACUUGAAUAAAAUAGAAUAGAAUAGAAUAUCUUUAUUGUCAUUAUGCAAUGCAUAACGAAAUUUAAGUGCAGUACUCAGAGCAGGAAGUACAAAAAAAAAAAAACAGUAUAAAACAUAGAUAAGAGGGAUAACACAUACAUCCACAUACAUACAGUAUAUACAGUUUCAGAGCAUCAGUCCAUUAGUUAUUUCAUGUGGUCAUUCGGGGCAGUUCUGGCCUUAGCAUAAAAGCUGUUUUUUAGUCUGUUUGUGUGGGUAUUUAAUGUCCUGUAUCGCCUGCCUCAGGGUAACUGUUCAAAUAGCAUGUGGCCGAGGUGAGAUGGGUCCUUGAUAAUGUUCUGGGCUGCAGCGGGAACUGUGAAGUUCUUCCAGGGAGGGGAGGGCGCAGCUGAUAAUUUUCUGGGCGGUGUUUAUAACUUGUAGAGAUCUCAUGUGAGCUGAGAUCUGAAAUUCUGCAAAACUCUUUUUUUCUUGCUUAUUUCUGUAGAAUAGAAUUAGAUGUUUCAAAAAAAAAAAUGCAGAUGAAUCAUAAAUACAUACAAGAACCUUUGCAUUUACCCCAAUCUGUAAAGCCAGCUAUAAAAUGCCUUCAGCCUCUGCCAUAAUUUGUUGACUUUCAAAAUCGAACCGAUGGAGUGUUUGCGAGAACAAAAGGUGAGAUGUAGUGAGGAAAAACCAGUCCAGCAGGACUUCAUUAGGCAGUGGGAUUCUACAUUAUAAAACUUCAAACAUUAUAUAUAAAAAAAGGGAAGUAUUUGGUAUUCAGCUGCAGCUCUCAGGGGCUCAUACUUGCAAUUUCAGAAUAAUCCUUGACUAAAUCAGGGAAUCUCUGAUCUAACAAGUCCAUUAAUGCACAAGAUUGCACACACACACACACACACACACACACACACACACACACACACACACACUAAGCUUACUCUGCUGAAGCCUUUACUGUCCACACAGUGUUCUGAAGAAACUAUUGCAAGAUUAUGGAUUUCUAACACAAACACUGCAAUUUUUGUUGACUGUGAACUCCUCGGCUGUGCCAAAUGGGAAUCUUCAUUAAUAGUUAUGCAGUUUCAGCUUGAAGUAUGGAAGCAGUUGUCAAUGCACUAAUCAUGUUUUUUUUUUUUGGCCCAAAUCCUGAUCCAAGUCAUUUAAUAUUUAGUAUCAAUCGAUUCCAGUCUGAUGUUUUUAUGUUUACAUCACACAGCAGCACAUUGAAUACUAGAUUAGGACUAUGCUAAAGUCAGUAAAACAGUUUAACAAAACCAUUUUAUCCUACACUUUAUUUACAUGCUUCCCCCACACAGUUUUACGCUUACUCAACACUUACUGAACUUGAACAAGUCUGUCUCAACAGAUAGUUAGUACUAAGGUUUCUCUUUGCUUUGCUCUGCAUGAUGGCUUUAAAUGUAGAGCAUCUAUUUGGAUCGGUUGGGACAUAAAUUGGACACCCUCCGUUUCUCCAGUUUAAGUUCACAAUUUAGUUUUAAACCAGCUGCAGUACUUGAGAAGACUGGUACUGGUACUUGUGCCAAAUAUUGCUGAAAAAGAUGCAAAGUGACUGUGUUUUUAAACCUCUGCUCUCCUUGCUGUCAGUGUGUAGACAUGUCUUCAUUGAAACAGUUGGCUGCUCGACAUUAUUUGUGCAGCUCAAAUCACCGUUUUUUUGUAAUAGAUACGGGUUUUUUAAUGGAGGACGGGAAAUUUUGACAGCUAGUCUACCUGCAGAACACAGGAUUACAAUAAAUAAAGGAUGUGAUUUGGAUCAGCUCUCAGUUGUACAGUUGGUGAUUAAAACUUGCUGAUCGGCUAAGGACAUUUCAAUCUUGUGAAGAUGGUAAAUGGACUGUACUUAUAUAGCACCUUUCUAGUCUUCCGACCACUCAAAGCGCUUUUACAGGACAUAUCUCAUUCACCCAUUCACACACAUUCACACACAUUCACACACAUUCACACACAUUCACAUACAUUCACACACUGAUGGCGCUGGCUGCCAUGCAAGGUGCCAAUUGCUCAUCAGUUUGAGGAGCGAACCGGGGAUCGAACCGCUGAUCAUCUGAUUAGUGGACGACCCGCUCCAUGCCCUCUAUAUGUAUACGAUAAAUUACAUACUGUAUAUUGCAGGCCAGACAUUACUUAGAUGUCCAGCAGUUAUGAAAAGAACUAAAUUAUUGCUUCUUCACUAUGUAGAUCUUUUCAGUUUAAUUCUUUCUAAACGGUAAACCUACAGAUUGACUAACAGUAAAAUAAUUUUGACUGUAGCUAUCUGUCUUUUUCAGUCCAUUCUUUACUGUAUAGAGAUGUUGACGCAUGUUUAGUUGCUUUAGGGGACAGUGGUAAACCUCACCACACAUAGGGGUGCUGAGAUGGAGCAGCUCUGUUGGUAUGAGGUGAAGCCUCUGGGGACAGAUUGAAGGAGGUCAUGGAUGUUAAUGUGAGGAAAGAAAAAGUACCACAGCUGCAACACUGCCACAGCUGUGACUUUUUUUUGAGCAUAGAGAUGCUGUCAUAUCAAGACUGAACGCUGUGUCAUUCAAGUAUGCCAUAGAUACUCAACAUUUACGUCGUGAUGCUAUAAUGGUAACACAAGUCAAGGCAGUGUGUGGGUGUUAUCGAUAUGCUCUCGUAUUCUCUAGUCUUUUCUCAUGAUGGAGCAUAUUAUGUUGCACAUAAUGAAUCUAAUAUGGUUACCUGCCAUAUUGCACAACCCUGUAGCCAAGUCCCUUUCCUGCACCUUACCAACUCAUUCACUGACUGCUUUGUCCAAAGGCAGCUUUGGCUCAAAUUGCCGCCUCUUUCUGUCGAUAUGUUUGCUACACAGCAAUCUGUCUUGUCUGUGAUUGUGUUUUGCUGCUGCAAAACACUUGCCCUAUGCUCAGCGUUAAUCUUCUAUAGCUUGUGUGUAGCUGUCUUAAAAUGUCUGGGCACUUAUUAUACCUUCAGGUGCUUCUUUUUAAAUUUUGUUAUCACCUUGAUAGUACUCUUGUGCCUGUGCACCCUGUAGACUUGAUAUAGGCAGUUUAAAAGUUUCCAACAUCUUUAACUCUUAUAUCUUUGUCUUCUAUACUGCCAAUGAUUCCAUUAGCCAAGCUAAAAUGCCAACUUUAUCUUAGGAACUUGGAGCUAAAGUAUACAAAACGUGUGCCCUCGUACUGUUUUACUGCGUCUGUUUUAUGUCCUGAAUAUGAUCUUUGUCAUUUACGGCAUCAUAACACCUUCAUAAGCUUUUUCCCAGGCUAAUGAUGUUAGAGUUCCUUUUUUAUCCUUUGCAUUUUCCACCCGCCGGCUCAUAGCUGUGAAUAUGUUUUCAGCUGGAGUGUUGUUCAGUUUUACAAAUGUAGCACAUUACGUGAGGCACAGCUGUCCCAACAGCCUUUUCCAAACCCACCGUUAUAUCAGUUUCCUGAUAUUAUGCCCGUAGUUAAAGCUAAAGGGAAAAUUAUGCACAUUACUAAUCAGAGGAAAACUAGUGAAAAACACAAAACUUUCUUAAUUUUUUCCCUAACCUUCCUUCUCUUGUGUUACUUCCCUGCACAAAAUUCCCUCAUUUUAUUAGUCUUCCUACUUCAGCUGCCAGAACACACAGUCCCAUACCUGCUGGAGACAGUGUCCAGAUGUAUCUCUUUGACUUUUCUCCUGUGGCAUAAAUAUAUUUUUAUGCGGUGGCUUUUCAAUUCACGCAGCUCCUCAGUCAACGAGCAGACAUGUUAUUCUGCAGACGUGGAAUGUUCUGGUGGGAACCUCUGUACAUGUUUGCAAUAUUUAAUAUAUACUUUAUCACUUCUUACUGGACACACCAGGAAUUUUAAUGGAUACCUGCUUCACAUUGCCUACUGUUUGCUAUAAUGGCUAUAACUUGAAAAUGUUGUUUUUACAGGAUAUAUUUACACACUAUGAACUAUUCAUUGACUGGCAACAAAACAUAGAAACUAAAAGUGUUCAAAUUAAAAUACACUAGUCUUAAUACUAUCGCACAAUUAUCUGUAUUAUCUAGCUUAUUUACACAAAACCAUAAUUUAUUUUAGUGUAAAUUGCCCAUUUUAUAAGCUUAAUUGUCAGUGGACCUCACAUUCUGUAAAGUACAAGCAGCACAGUCCAUUCAAAGAAGAGAGCAGGGUAUAGUCAGAACACUUAAUUAAAUGUUAUUAGCUCAGAAUGACUCUAUCAAGCUUAAAGUGUUGCUUUAGCACUAAAGGUGGUGGACUGGAACAAGGCAAGUCUUUUUUUUUUUUUUGAGAACUUUUAGUUGGUGAUUUUUAGACUUUAAUUGUUUCUUUUCUUAAUUAGGGAAUAUUCUGGAGUUUAAUUUGCCACUCUCUCUGCUUCUGUAGCUAACUCUGUGUUUGAAUGCGUGUCAUACUCUGACAUUACUGUGACAGACAUUACUGUUCAGUCAAGAAUGACAUUGCUGGUGUGUCACUGCUAGAUCAAUACAACUGUGAGGUAAAUCAAAGUUGGCAACACAAGAAACUGAAUUUUCUGAUAAUAAUCUUUGUUAUUUGUUAUUUGUUAUUUGACUUCUUCACAAAAAAGCAAAUAUCUCAAUAGCUUGUAGACAGCCAUUACAUGUUGUACAGACAUCCAUCUCCAGAGGAUGAAUCCUAAUGACUUUAAUGAUCCUCUGAUUGUUCCUCUGAAUAAAAAUGUCUCAACAGCUAUUGGAUGCUGUAACAUCUGGUUCAGCAAUUCAUGUCCUCCUCAGGGUGACUUGUGAUAACUUGUGAUUAUGAAAAUGUACUCUUCACCUAUGACAUCCCAAUCAGCCUGUGCUAUACUGUGUGUUUCGUGCUUUACAUCACGUUAAACUAACACGGUGAGUAUGGUAAGCACUCCAUGCUAAACAUCACCACGCCAUUUUGAGCAUGUUAGCAUGCUGAUGUUAGCACUUAGCUUGAAUCAGUGCCUAAGUACAGUCACUAUGGAGCCAAAAGCAAUAGUGGCUGUAGACUUUUCGUCGUUGUAAUAGAAAUGUCACAGUAACGUCAUUACACAGGAGUUCUUAUCUGCAGCGUCUGGUGCAAAACCAAGCUGUGUAUGCCACAGAUAAACAAACGAAGUAGUGCCCGCAACUUGCAUUUGAUUAAUUUGUGUUUGUAGUUCCAUUAUGAACUGCUCUUCAUCAGUUCAGUGGCAAAAGACCAAAUAUGAAGAACCAUGUUUCCAAAUAUGAAUUCUUUCCAACAUUUCAAAUUACCUCACAAACCACCAGUAACUCUUGAAACUGUGAAAAAGAGCAAACACGCUUUCUUCCUUUGGUCUUUUGACCUUCUGUCAUACCAGUUCAGUUAUUCGGUUUACACAACCCCUUAGGAAUUUUUCCUAUUCAAAGUUAGUGAUAGAAAUCUAGGCAUGCGUCAUAAUGGCAUGGUGAUGCAUCGGUAAACUGUAUCUGCAGAAGACCAUAUCUUAGGUUUGUAUCAUUAUGAUGAUAAAUUAUUACAGUUUCCACCUUCGCUAAGCCACAGAUAGAUGGUGAAAGAUCAAGACUUCUGAGCAGAACAUCUUAAGCGCUAAUUUUUCGUUGGACAAAUCUGACAAACAGACGCGCACUCAGGAGUUUUAUUCAUGAAGGUUUCAAAGACCAAACCAAACCAAACACAGGGAACGUCAUCUCUUUGACAUAUAAGUCUGAGAGUCAACGCCAGUAAAACAUCUUGGUUAUUUGAGCUUCUGACUCAUUUUUCUUUGUCAUUCUUUUAUUAUGUGGGAAAUUCAGAAAUAUUUUUACUUAGUCUACGCUGGACCGAGAUCUUAAACAGAAUGCAUAUUUCCUUAUUUCAAAACGCAGUCCUCUGUUCAUUUGUUGUCUGUCAUACUCUUCUUACCUCUCCGCUUGGUUGUUCACGCUUUGUUCACACCCACACUCUCCCCAUUCUUCUACUUUUCUUUCUUAUUCUCCCCUCAUUUCAGGGUGUCAUUGAGAAACCAGGUCCUGGUGUGAUGCAUUGUGUGUGGUAUAAUAAUUCACAGAUACGGCUUCUGUGUGAUAAAGACUGCUUAUGGAAUGGGGAGGACAUCUGUCCUGUGGACCCGUGCUGCUCUGAACUAAAACGAACCAUGUGUUGAACACUCACAGUAGGAAAACUGGAAGUCCAACAUCCGGCAAUGUGAAAACAAAAACGUUUUAGUUCCUUUUCCCCUUAAGAGGAUGAAAAAUAUUACAUACUGCUUGCACAGUAUGUAAUAAACCAAUUUUGUCAUCAUUAACACAGAAUUUAAACAUUUGUUAUUCUUUACAUUUUCAAAACAAAGGAAGCGUCCAGUUUCACAUGUGCUUUUCUUUCAUCUUACGUUCCUCCUGAUGCUAACGUUUGAUUCGUUUCCAACUUUCAAACCUCUCUUCCAUUUUUUUAGGGGUUCAAGGUGUAUGAAGAUCUGAAUUGAUGAUUCUGGCUUUAAUUAGUAUAGCCUGUUUUAGUGAUGUCAGCAAUUCUUUACAGGCUAUGCUAAUCUGUGCCAGAAUCAGCAAUGCAAUUGGGACGGAUGCAUUUCUCCAUGACGUACAUUAAGACUGUUUAUUGCACUGUUGUCAUUCCCUGAAUUUCUCUUUUAAUUUAUUGCUGGUUUUGAGUCAGUGCUUUGAAAUAUAACAGAGCAACAAAAAAAAAUAGUUCCUCAAAAUGGAUUGAAGUUGAUAGAGGCUUUCUGUUAAGGUGCAGGUCUUCAGAUGACAUAUCAUUUGUAAUUACUAUAAUAAAAAAAAAAAAA
RNAcentral lists this long non-coding RNA (9376 nucleotides) under Miichthys miiuy (Mi-iuy croaker). RNAcentral's name for it is "MIR2187HG". The stretch from base 9064 to 9125 matches the Rfam family "mir-2187 microRNA precursor family". The record is from RNAcentral. Lineage: Eukaryota; Metazoa; Chordata; Actinopteri; Sciaenidae.